GCCCUGCGCCCGACCGGGGAGCCCCGGGCCGGCCAGCCGCGUGCCCGGCCGCCCCCGCGCUGCCUAGCGCCCCCCGAGCCCGCCGGACGCGCCGAGGACGGCCGGGAGGUCACCGGGCACCUGCAGCGCCCGCCCCAGGCUCUGAGCAGAUGCCAUGGAGAACCCCCCCCGGGGCCCGUCUUAAAAUGGCCAAAGGAAUUUUUCUACCUGUUGAUGUUUCUGUCCAGUGCGCUGAUGUGAUGAGAUGGCAAUUUUAGAAUUAUGUCCAGCGAUUUGGUGUUUUUCAGAAUCUUCGAGAUGCCAGACACAGUCACCACAAGUCUCACCUUGGAGACGUAACUGGCGCCCGCUCGAGCCAAUCGAUGAGCAACGGGACGACAGUGCGACAGUACUAGGUGUGAACCCCAUCAGCUGUGGUGGGUGCUCUUGGAGUCUGGGCGGUGUGAGGU
Sorex araneus (European shrew) is the source of this 449-nucleotide long non-coding RNA. RefSeq lists it as uncharacterized. The transcript is spliced from 4 exons. The record is from RefSeq and is a predicted model, not a curated record. Lineage: Eukaryota; Metazoa; Chordata; Mammalia; Eulipotyphla; Soricidae.